RNAcentral lists this long non-coding RNA (2256 nucleotides) under Homo sapiens (human). Its description in RNAcentral is "non-protein coding lnc-RPEL1-1:2". Lineage: Eukaryota; Metazoa; Chordata; Mammalia; Primates; Hominidae. The record is from RNAcentral.
CUCUGCUCGCGCCCGGCCAGGGACCGGCGCGCUGUUCCGUCCCCCAGCUCCGCCGCAGAGUUCGGCGAAGCCGACGCUCCCUGACCGCGCUGCGUCUGUCUGUCCCGCGGGUCUGGAGAUCUUCAAACGAUGGAACACCGGCUUUGCCCUUCUGAGGGUCUCCAUCCCUUGGCAUUCUGCCUGCGCCCCUCAGCCUGGCCCUGGGCUAACCUCUCCACUGUGUCUCAUUCAGAAGAAGCUUUUCCUUGGGAGGAGAGGGCAUCCUUUUUCCCAGUCACAGAAUGUUUUGGUCUAAUGGACCUCAAGGCCCCUCAUGCGUCCACACCCCCAUGGCACCCUCGAAUCCCCUUGAUGGCUAAAAACACCAGCUUUGAAGUUUGUCAGAACGAGUUCCAGUCCCAGUACCACCACUUACAAACUGUAACCUCGGGCGAGGUACCUGACCUCCUAUACCUGGUGCCCACAUUUGUAGCACCAGGAUAGGGAACAACAGUCCCCACAUCAAAGGGUGUUGACGGGAUGAAAUCACACAAUAUAGGUGAGGCCCUCAGCAGGAUCCUGGCACACAGUAAGCACUCAAUAAAUGUUCACCCCACCACCAGCAACUCAGCAGGAAGACUCCGCAAAAGCAGCUAGCUAUUUCCAGAGGACUGAAUUCCUUGGUCCGAGCAGCUCUCACCAGUGAGAAAAUGUGUCUAAACUUCCACUCUCAGGGCCGAAAUUCGAUGCCUUGGAGCCACAGAGAACAAACGUCUAAUCUCUCCUGGACCUUUGACUUUUCAGAUACUUUACUUCUAUCACCUCUGCCCAAGGUCUUCUCAUUCCACAUCAGUGUCUCCCGUUCCUUCCAUUGUUCCUCCUCUGCCCUGGUUUUGAGGGUCUUUAUCCCUCUCACGCAAAUGGUAGAUUUGACUGUGAUUUCUUUAGAAUACAUCACCCAAGACUGAACCAAAUGUUUGUGGUAUCAUCAGAGCAAAGCAGGACUAUAGCUUCCUCCUUUUGGGACCUAUCGCUUUGCACUCCUGCGAUAAAGUUCUUGGCACCCAUACUGUUGACUCAUAUUGGGCUUGCAGUCAACCAAAACCUCCGCGUCUUUUUAAUAAGUGCUCCGCCAGAGCACUUCUACCCCUUCUUGUGCUUCUCAGCCAACUUCGCUUCAGGUCAGCUAAGGAUAGACCUUGGGCCCCUCACCUUCUAAAUUUCUCAGGAUAUAUGGAAAAGAGGAAUAGGGGUUGGAAGCUGGCAUAACACAAUCUUUAAACCAAGUGCAUUUGAAAAAAGGCCAGGGUGGCGGGGCGUGGUAGCUCACACCUGUAAUCCCAUCACUUUGGGAAGCCAAGGCAGGUGGAUCAUUUGAGGUCAGGAGUUCAAGACCAGCCUGACCAACAUGGCGAAACCCCAUCUCUACUAAAAAUACAAAAAUUAGCUGGGCAUGGUGGCACGCACCUGUAGUCCCAGCUACUCGGGAGGCUGAGGCAGGAGAAUCGCUUGAACCCGGAAGGCGGAGGUUGCAGUGAGCCAAGAUCACGCCACUGAACUCCAGCCUGGGCGACAGAGGGAGACUCCAUCUCCAAAAAAAAAAAAAAAGAAGAAACGAAAAAAGGCCAGGGUUUGUGUCUAAACACUAUGGUACUGAGAGAAAAACAAAUAUAGAGACACACACAAAUGAAUGUGAUCACAACUGUGAAAAAAAACUGCACACGCAAAAGACUACAGGGAAAUAUGUAAUUGAUUAUGUUGUUUUCUCUCAGUGAUAAGAUGGGGUGGUUUCUUCUUUGUACUUUUGUAUUAAUUUCUUACGGUGUUUGUAUUACUUUUAUAAUCAAGAACUUUGUUUUAAAAAAUAAAUCAGAAAAAAGAAUUUAAAAAAUCAGAGAGAUGGAAUAACUUGAAAAAAACUGAAAACAAAGUUAAAAGAUAACAGAAUAAGGGGAAAACUAUUCGCAAUACACAAAAGACAAAGGAUUUGUCUAUAAAGGACUCUUAACAAAUCAAUAAUAAAAAGAAUGAGGCCGGGCGCGGUGGCUCACGCCUGUAAUCCCAGCCCUUUGGGAGGCCGAGGCGGGCAGAUCACGAGGUCAGGAGAUUGAGACCAUCCUGGCUAACGUGGUGAAACCCUGUCUCUACUAAAAACACAAAAAAUUAGCUGGACGUGGUGGCAGGCGCCUAUAGUCCCAGCUACUCAGGAGGCUGAGGCAGGAGAAUGGCGUGAACCCGGGAGGCGGAGCUUGCAGUGAGCCGAGAUCCCGCCACUGC